This 1090-nucleotide long non-coding RNA is filed under the name Malus domestica (apple). RNAcentral describes it as "long non-coding RNA (MDOM_LNC008217)". Lineage: Eukaryota; Viridiplantae; Streptophyta; Magnoliopsida; Rosales; Rosaceae. The record is from RNAcentral.
AAAAAACCAAAAACAAAAACCUCCCACUCCCCCCACUUUCUCUCUCUCUCUCUCUCUCCCCUUCUCAUUUUCUAAAAAAAUGUGUUCAUACACACAAAGUGUGUAGGCAAAUGCUAGUAUUUAUUAAGAUAAUUAGGGUUUAGUGGCAUAAUUUGUAAAUAUGUUGUAAUAAUUGGUUAUAUAUUUAUCUACGUGGUAGUCUAUUUGAAAUUUGGGUAUUAUUUGAAUGUUGUUGUAGGCCUAUUUGAUUGAACGAUCUAGGGUUUAGAGAGAGAGGGGGGCCGACCACUAUUAGAGAGAAGAGAGAUUGAUUUAAUUUGAGGUGUGUUUGAUUCACCCCAUUGUGCCUUUAUUUAUAGUAUGAAGGGUAAAACCUUUCCCUUUAGGAUUACAACAUUUAAUAUGUAAUCUAAUCUUAAUAGGAAUAUAAGAUACAUUCCCAAAUUCCCUAGGAUUUACACAAUCACAUUCCUAUUCUAAAUAUGACUGCAACACUCUCCCUUGAGUGUGUAAAUACUCAACAAACAAUCGCAUCAGAUCUUCAGCAGAUAAGGUAGAAUAGUUGAUGAAGUCAUCGGCACAACGGGUGAUCGCGAGUCUCAAAUUUAAGUGAAGUAUGCAUUUGCAAAAACUUACAAAAACCUUGCUAUGGUAAAACCCAAGGCAUGGGGAAAACCCAUAGACUAAGGAGAAAAGUAAGAAAAUAUGCAUAAUGUCUAAAACACUCGUCAAACUGGACGAAGGUAGUGAACUCAUUAGAGUAUGAUCAUCCCAGGAUGGGUGCCUUAUUAAAACCUCGUUAGGUAGCAAAAACCCAGUGGAAAAAAUGCUUCUAAUCGUAGGAAAAAGAGUACAUUAAGGCAUGAGUAUUCUUCUAGAUACUCCCCCUAAGUUAGACACAACUUCUAAAUAAAAGAACUACAAGCAAUUCAACUCAAAUAAUUUACGCAUACCAAUUCCUUUGACGAGCUUCUGAAAUGUAAACUUGGGCAAUGACUUGGUAAAGAGAUCGGCCAGGUUGUCCUGGGAACGGAUUUACUUGACUUCAAUGUUCUGAUGCUGCUGCUGCUGGUGUGAGUAAAAGAACUUC